RNAcentral lists this ribosomal RNA (223 nucleotides) under Escherichia coli. RNAcentral's name for it is "partial 16S ribosomal RNA". It matches the Rfam family "Bacterial small subunit ribosomal RNA", at positions 899 to 1121 of the family's 1533-position model. RNAcentral also lists the same sequence under 1 other name. Lineage: Bacteria; Pseudomonadati; Pseudomonadota; Gammaproteobacteria; Enterobacterales; Enterobacteriaceae. The record is from RNAcentral.
ACUCAAAUGAAUUGACGGGGGCCCGCACAAGCGGUGGAGCAUGUGGUUUAAUUCGAUGCAACGCGAAGAACCUUACCUGGUCUUGACAUCCACAGAACUUUCCAGAGAUGGAUUGGUGCCUUCGGGAACUGUGAGACAGGUGCUGCAUGGCUGUCGUCAGCUCGUGUUGUGAAAUGUUGGGUUAAGUCCCGCAACGAGCGCAACCCUUAUCCUUUGUUGCCAG